ACGAACGCUGGCGGCGUGCUUAACACAUGCCAGUCGAACGGUGAAGCGCCUUCCUUUUUGGUGGGUGUGGAUGAGUGGCGAACGGGUGAGUAACACGUGAGUAACCUGCCCCCUUCUUCUGGAUAACCGCAUGAAAGUGUGGCUAAUACGGGAUAUUCUGGGUCUGUCGCAUGAUGGGUCUGGGAAAGAUAUUGUUUCGGUGGGGGAUGGGCUCGCGGCCUAUCAGCUUGUUGGUGGGGUGAUGGGCUACCAAGGCGGUGACGGGUAGCCGGCCUGAGAGGGUGGACGGUCACACUGGGACUGAGACACGGCCCAGACUCCUACGGGAGGCAGCAGUGGGGAAUAUUGCACAAUGGGCGCAAGCCUGAUGCAGCGACGCCGCGUGAGGGAUGGAGGCCUUCGGGUUGUGAACCUCUUUCGCCAGUGAAGCAGGCCUGCCUCGUUUGUGGGUGGGUUGACGGUAGCUGGAUAAGAAGCGCCGGCUAACUACGUG
RNAcentral lists this ribosomal RNA (493 nucleotides) under uncultured bacterium. RNAcentral's name for it is "partial 16S ribosomal RNA". It matches the Rfam family "Bacterial small subunit ribosomal RNA", at positions 29 to 507 of the family's 1533-position model. The record is from RNAcentral.